ACUUGAAUUGAAGAGUUUGAUCAUGGCUCAGAUUGAACGCUGGCGGCAGGCUUAACACAUGCAAGUCGAACGGU
This 74-nucleotide ribosomal RNA is filed under the name Haemophilus influenzae. RNAcentral's name for it is "partial 16S ribosomal RNA". It matches the Rfam family "Bacterial small subunit ribosomal RNA", at positions 1 to 70 of the family's 1533-position model. Lineage: Bacteria; Pseudomonadati; Pseudomonadota; Gammaproteobacteria; Pasteurellales; Pasteurellaceae. The record is from RNAcentral.